This 491-nucleotide ribosomal RNA is filed under the name uncultured bacterium. RNAcentral's name for it is "partial 16S ribosomal RNA". It matches the Rfam family "Bacterial small subunit ribosomal RNA", at positions 30 to 507 of the family's 1533-position model. The record is from RNAcentral.
UUGCACGCUGGCGGCAUGCUUUACCCCUGCAAGUCGCACGGUAACAGGCCUUCGGGUGCUGACGAGUGGCGAACGGGUGAGUAAUGCAUCGGAACGUACCCAGAGGUGGGGGAUAACGCAGCGAAAGCUGUGCUAAUACUGCAUGUGAUCUGAGGAUGAAAGCGGGGGACCGAGCAGCAAUGUUUGGCCUCGCGCCUUUGGAGCGGCCGAUGUCGGAUUAGCUAGUUGGUGGGGUAAAGGCCUACCAAGGCGACGAUCCGUAGCUGGUCUGAGAGGACGACCAGCCACACUGGGACUGAGACACGGCCCAGACUCCUACGGGAGGCAGCAGUGGGGAAUUUUGGACAAUGGGCGCAAGCCUGAUCCAGCAAUGCCGCGUGCGGGAAGAAGGCCUUCGGGUUGUAAACCGCUUUUGGCAGGAACGAAACGGUGUCCGCUAAUACCGGGCGCUAAUGACGGUACCUGCAGAAUAAGCACCGGCUAACUACGUG